This 440-nucleotide ribosomal RNA is filed under the name uncultured eukaryote. RNAcentral's name for it is "bacterial SSU rRNA". It matches the Rfam family "Eukaryotic small subunit ribosomal RNA", at positions 17 to 457 of the family's 1831-position model. The record is from RNAcentral.
CCAGUAGUCAUAUGCUUGUCUCAAAGAUUAAGCCAUGCACGUCUAAGGAUAAAUAUUAUUUAACCAUAAACCUGCGAAAGGCUCAUUAAAUCAGUAAUAAUCUAUUCUAUUAUUUAAUCCUAUUUGGAUAACUGUAGUAAUUCUAGAGCUAAUACAUGCAAAAAACCUGGACUUUACAGAACAGGUGUACUUAUUAGACUUUAAAACCGAUUACAAUUUAUUGUAAAUUUAAAAUGAAUUAAAAUAAGUUUAUGAAUCGCAGAUCAUUUUGUGAUGAUAAGAAUGAAUUUCUGCCCUAUCAACUUUCGAUGGUAAUGUAGUGGAUUACCAUGGUGAUGACGGGUAACGGGGAAUUAGGUUUGAUUCCGGAGAAAAGGCCUGAGAGACGGCCAUUACUUCUAAGGAAGGCAGCAGGCGCGUAAAUUACCCAAUCCUAAUAC